AUGGGCCGAUUGUAUGCAGGUCCGGAACAGCCUGCUCAUUUCUCAAAACUACGGCCCACGGCCCCGGCCGGACUCACUCAACUGACGCACGCUCUCGUCGUGCACGAACACAGAGCCCUCCAGCUCCUCGGCGGCCCUCCCCUCUUCUCCGUCCCGGUCGCCACUCCCCGCCCUCGGAGCUCCCGGGCGGCGGCAGCCAUGUACCGGGUCGCCGGCAGCCACCUCCGCGCUCUCAAGCAACAUGGUUCUAGUAGGUUUGCUAGUACAAGUGUUGUGAAGCAGUCUUCUGGUGGUUUAUUUGGUUGGCUUCUUGGUAGCAAGCCAACCCAGUUUCCAACUCUUGAUGUCCCUCUCCCAGGCGUCACUAUUCCUCCACCACUACCAGACUUCGUAGAGCCAGCCAAGGCAAAAGUUACCACUCUCCCGAAUGGCCUCAAAAUUGCUUCAGAAACAUCAACGAGUCCAGCAGCAACAGUGGGAUUGUAUAUUGAUUGUGGUUCUAUGUAUGAAACACCUGGUUCGUCUGGAGCAUCGCAUCUACUGGAGAGAAUGUCAUUCAAGAGCACCACAAACAGGAGUCAUUUGCGGCUAGUACGCGAGGUAGAGUCCAUUGGAGGGAAUGUCUCUGCGAUAGCUACUCGUGAACAAAUGUGCUAUACCUAUGAUGCAUUCAGGGCCUAUGUACCUGAUAUGGUUGAAGUGCUUAUUGAUAGUGUGAGAAACCCAGCAUUUCUUGAUUGGGAGGUUAAAGAGCAGCUGGAGGAGAUGAAAGCUGAAAUAGCUGAAUUUUCUGCUAAUCCUCAAGGUUUACUUUUAGAGGCUCUCCAUUCUGCUGGCUAUACUGGGGCACUGGCAAAGCCCUUGGUGGCACCAGAGCCUGCCAUACAUAAAUUGGACAGUGGCGUUCUUAAGGAAUUCGUUGCUGAAAACUACACAGCACCCAGGAUGGUCCUAGCAGCAUCAGGAGUUGAGCAUGAUGUGCUAGUUUCAAUUGCUGAGCCACUUCUCUCUGAUCUUCCUGCUGUGAAGCGUCCAGAAGAGCCAAAAUCAGUUUAUGUGGGAGGAGACUAUCGUUGUCAAGCAGACUGUCAAAACACACAUUUUGCUCUUGCUUUUGAAGUGCCAGGUGGAUGGUAUGAAGAGAAAACAGCUAUUACUGUAACUGUCCUUCAGAAGCUCAUGGGGGGAGGUGAUUGGUUCUGUACUGGCGGUGUUGGGAAGGGCUUGUAUUCUCGAUUAUCUCUCCGGAUAUUAAGCCACUACCAUCAGAUCGAAUCAUUCUCCGCUUUCAAUCGUAUCUACAACUAUUCUGGUAUUUUUGGAAUUCUUGCAACAACCAGCCCAGAUUUUGCCUCGAAGGCUGUGGAUUUGGCAGCAGGGGAACUUCUUGAAGUUGCCACUCCUGGAAAUGUUACACAAGGACAGCUUGAUCGAGCUAAACGGGCAGCAAAGUGUAAAGUUUUGAUGGACUUGGAAUCAAGAGCUGUAGCAUGUGAAGACAUUGGGAGGCAGGUUAUGACUUAUGGUGAAAGGGAACCCAUCGAGAAAUUCUUGAACGAUGUCGAAGCAAUUACUCUGAAUGACAUUUCUUCAACUGCCAAGAACAUUAUUUCUACACCCCUUACGAUGGCAUCAUGGGGUGAUGUUACUAAUGUCCCAACCUACGAGUCUGUUAGCAGGAAGUUCCAUUCAAAGUGA
This 1698-nucleotide ribosomal RNA is filed under the name Triticum aestivum (bread wheat). RNAcentral describes it as "partial small subunit ribosomal RNA". The record is from RNAcentral. Lineage: Eukaryota; Viridiplantae; Streptophyta; Magnoliopsida; Poales; Poaceae.